ACAACCCCUUGUCCUCAUCCUUCAGCUGGUUUAAAGUAGAUGGUGACAGUUGAGACCGACCCAUUAUCUUUGACAGCCCGACUGAACUGAACACAACCCUCGUCAAUCAGCUUUUGAAUACCAGCCCUCAACUGGUCACAACCGUUAUCAGCUUCAACACAACCCAAACAACCCUUAUCACAACCCGGGUAAACACCACCACCCAACAAACGGCCCUUCACAGUCAACAAAGGAGUCUGAAUCUCCUCCACUCUGAC
This 257-nucleotide long non-coding RNA is filed under the name Lathyrus oleraceus (garden pea). Its description in RNAcentral is "Pisum sativum (pea) long non-coding RNA (PSAT_LNC016234)". The record is from RNAcentral. Lineage: Eukaryota; Viridiplantae; Streptophyta; Magnoliopsida; Fabales; Fabaceae.